CAGAAUUCGCCCUUGUCCCAGCAGCCGCGGUAAUACGGAGGGUGCGAGCGUUAUCCGGAUUUAUUGGGUUUAAAGGGUCCGUAGGCGGGCCUGUAAGUCAGUGGUGAAAUCUCAUAGCUUAACUAUGAAACUGCCAUUGAUACUGCAGGCCUUGAGUAAAUUUGAAGUGGCUGGAAUAAGUAGUGUAGCGGUGAAAUGCAUAGAUAUUACUUAGAACACCGAUUGCGAAGGCAGGUCACUAAGAUUUAACUGACGCUGAUGGACGAAAGCGUGGGGAGCGAACAGGAUUAGAUACCCUGGUAGUCCACGCCGUAAACGAUGCUAACUCGUUUUUGGAUCUUCGGGUUCAGAGACCAAGCGAAAGUGAUAAGUUAGCCACCUGGGGAGUACGUCCGCAAGGAUGAAACUCAAAGGAAUUGAUGGGGGCCCGCACAAGCGGUGGAUUAUGUGGUUUAAUUCGAUGAUACGCGAGGAACCUUACCAAGACUUAAAUGGGAAUUGACAGAUUUAGAAAUAGAUCCUCCUUCGGGCAAUUUUCAAGGUGCUGCAUGGUUGUCGUCAGCUCGUGCCGUGAGGUGUUAGGUUAAGUCCUGCAACGAGCGCAACCCCUGCCAACAGUUGCCAUCAUUCAGUUGGGGACUCUGUUGGG
This 649-nucleotide ribosomal RNA is filed under the name uncultured bacterium. Its description in RNAcentral is "bacterial SSU rRNA". It matches the Rfam family "Bacterial small subunit ribosomal RNA", at positions 488 to 1147 of the family's 1533-position model. The record is from RNAcentral.